GGUUAAGCGACUAAGCGUACACGGUGGAUGCCCUGGCAGUCAGAGGCGAUGAAGGGCGUGCUAAUCUGCGAUAAGCGCCGGUAAGGUGAUAUGAACCGUUAUAACCGGCGAUACCCGAAUGGGGAAACCCAGUGUGAUUCGUCACACUAUCAUUAACUGAAUCCAUAGGUUAAUGAGGCGAACCGGGGGAACUGAAACAUCUAAGUACCCCGAGGAAAAGAAAUCAACCGAGAUUCCCCCAGUAGCGGCGAGCGAACGGGGAGGAGCCCAGAGCCUGAAUCAGCAUGUGUGUUAGUGGAAGCGUCUGGAAAGGCGCGCGAUACAGGGUGACAGCCCCGUACACAAAAGCGCAUGUGCUGUGAGCUCGAUGAGUAGGGCGGGACACGUGGUAUCCUGUCUGAAUAUGGGGGGACCAUCCUCCAAGGCUAAAUACUCCUGACUGACCGAUAGUGAACCAGUACCGUGAGGGAAAGGCGAAAAGAACCCCGGCGAGGGGAGUGAAAAAGAACCUGAAACCGUGUACGUACAAGCAGUGGGAGCACCCUUCGGGGUGUGACUGCGUACCUUUUGUAUAAUGGGUCAGCGACUUAUAUUCUGUAGCAAGGUUAACCGUAUAGGGGAGCCGGAGGGAAACCGAGUCUUAAUUGGGCGUUAAGUUGCAGGGUAUAGACCCGAAACCCGGUGAUCUAGCCAUGGGCAGGUUGAAGGUUGGGUAACACUAACUGGAGGACCGAACCGACUAAUGUUGAAAAAUUAGCGGAUGACCUGUGGCUGGGGGUGAAAGGCCAAUCAAACCGGGAGAUAGCUGGUUCUCCCCGAAAGCUAUUUAGGUAGCGCCUCGUGAAUUCAUCUCCGGGGGUAGAGCACUGUUUCGGCUAGGGGGCCAUCCCGGCUUACCAACCCGAUGCAAACUGCGAAUACCGGAGAAUGUUAUCACGGGAGACACACGGCGGGUGCUAACGUCCGUCGUGAAGAGGGAAACAACCCAGACCGCCAGCUAAGGUCCCAAAGUCAUGGUUAAGUGGGAAACGAUGUGGGAAGGCCCAGACAGCCAGGAUGUUGGCUUAGAAGCAGCCAUCAUUUAAAGAAAGCGUAAUAGCUCACUGGUCGAGUCGGCCUGCGCGGAAGAUGUAACGGGGCUAAACCAUGCACCGAAGCUGCGGCAGCGAACGUAUCACCCAAGACAACUUUACGGAGUUGACGAUUGACGGAGCGAAGCGACGUCAAAGCGUUCAUUAAAGUCGAGUUGGCUUAGGGAUACGUUCGUUGGGUAGGGGAGCGUUCUGUAAGCCUGUGAAGGUGUGUCGUGAGGCAUGCUGGAGGUAUCAGAAGUGCGAAUGCUGACAUAAGUAACGAUAAAGCGGGUGAAAAGCCCGCUCGCCGGAAGACCAAGGGUUCCUGUCCAACGUUAAUCGGGGCAGGGUGAGUCGACCCCUAAGGCGAGGCCGAAAGGCGUAGUCGAUGGGAAACGGGUUAAUAUUCCCGUACUUGGUGUUACUGCGAAGGGGGGACGGAGAAGGCUAUGUUGGCCGGGCGACGGUUGUCCCGGUUUAAGCGUGUAGGUGUGUGUUCCAGGUAAAUCCGGUUCACUUUAACACUGAGGCGUGACGACGAGGCACUACGGUGCUGAAGCAACAAAUGCCCUGCUUCCAGGAAAAGCCUCUAAGCAUCAGGUAACAUCAAAUCGUACCCCAAACCGACACAGGUGGUCAGGUAGAGAAUACCAAGGCGCUUGAGAGAACUCGGGUGAAGGAACUAGGCAAAAUGGUGCCGUAACUUCGGGAGAAGGCACGCUGACACGUAGGUGAAGUGAUUUACUCAUGGAGCUGAAGUCAGUCGAAGAUACCAGCUGGCUGCAACUGUUUAUUAAAAACACAGCACUGUGCAAACACGAAAGUGGACGUAUACGGUGUGACGCCUGCCCGGUGCCGGAAGGUUAAUUGAUGGGGUCAGCGCAAGCGAAGCUCCUGAUCGAAGCCCCGGUAAACGGCGGCCGUAACUAUAACGGUCCUAAGGUAGCGAAAUUCCUUGUCGGGUAAGUUCCGACCUGCACGAAUGGCGUAAUGAUGGCCAGGCUGUCUCCACCCGAGACUCAGUGAAAUUGAACUCGCUGUGAAGAUGCAGUGUACCCGCGGCAAGACGGAAAGACCCCGUGAACCUUUACUAUAGCUUGACACUGAACAUUGAGCCUUGAUGUGUAGGAUAGGUGGGAGGCUUUGAAGUGUGGACGCCAGUCUGCAUGGAGCCGACCUUGAAAUACCACCCUUUAAUGUUUGAUGUUCUAACGUGGACCCGUUACCCGGGUUGCGGACAGUGUCUGGUGGGUAGUUUGACUGGGGCGGUCUCCUCCUAAAGAGUAACGGAGGAGCACGAAGGUUGGCUAAUCCUGGUCGGACAUCAGGAGGUUAGUGCAAUGGCAUAAGCCAGCUUGACUGCGAGCGUGACGGCGCGAGCAGGUGCGAAAGCAGGUCAUAGUGAUCCGGUGGUUCUGAAUGGAAGGGCCAUCGCUCAACGGAUAAAAGGUACUCCGGGGAUAACAGGCUGAUACCGCCCAAGAGUUCAUAUCGACGGCGGUGUUUGGCACCUCGAUGUCGGCUCAUCACAUCCUGGGGCUGAAGUAGGUCCCAAGGGUAUGGCUGUUCGCCAUUUAAAGUGGUACGCGAGCUGGGUUUAGAACGUCGUGAGACAGUUCGGUCCCUAUCUGCCGUGGGCGCUGGAGAACUGAGGGGGGCUGCUCCUAGUACGAGAGGACCGGAGUGGACGCAUCACUGGUGUUCGGGUUGUCAUGCCAAUGGCACUGCCCGGUAGCUAAAUGCGGAAGAGAUAAGUGCUGAAAGCAUCUAAGCACGAAACUUGCCCCGAGAUGAGUUCUCCCUGAGACUUAGAGUCUCCUGAAGGAACGUUGAAGACGACGACGUUGAUAGGCCGGGUGUGUAAGCGCAGCGAUGCGUUGAGCUAACCGGUACUAAUGAACCGUGAGGCUUAACCUUACAACGCCGAAGAUGUUUUG
RNAcentral lists this ribosomal RNA (3010 nucleotides) under Salmonella enterica subsp. enterica serovar Typhimurium. Its description in RNAcentral is "bacterial LSU rRNA". It matches the Rfam family "Bacterial large subunit ribosomal RNA". The record is from RNAcentral. Lineage: Bacteria; Pseudomonadati; Pseudomonadota; Gammaproteobacteria; Enterobacterales; Enterobacteriaceae.